UGACAAAUUGAAUAUUGCAUCCAUAUAUUCUCGAUAAUAGGGUUCGAGAGUUUCUACACAAAGGCCGUAAAUCUUUGGACUAUGGGUGAAUCCUUAGUAACC
RNAcentral lists this non-coding RNA (102 nucleotides) under Clostridiales bacterium oral taxon 876 str. F0540. RNAcentral describes it as "Purine riboswitch aptamer". It matches the Rfam family "Purine riboswitch aptamer". From Rfam's summary of the family: Riboswitches are metabolite binding domains within certain messenger RNAs that serve as precision sensors for their corresponding targets. Allosteric rearrangement of mRNA structure is mediated by ligand binding, and this results in modulation of gene expression. RNAcentral also lists the same sequence under 1 other name. The record is from Rfam by way of RNAcentral. Lineage: Bacteria; Bacillati; Bacillota; Clostridia; Eubacteriales.